RNAcentral lists this ribosomal RNA (305 nucleotides) under uncultured bacterium. Its description in RNAcentral is "bacterial SSU rRNA". It matches the Rfam family "Bacterial small subunit ribosomal RNA", at positions 30 to 334 of the family's 1533-position model. The record is from RNAcentral.
AUUGAACGCUGGCGGCAUGCCUUACACAUGCAAGUCGAACGGCAGCACGGACUUCGGUCUGGUGGCGAGUGGCGAACGGGUGAGUAAUACAUCGGAACGUGCCUAGUAGUGGGGGAUAACUACUCGAAAGAGUGGCUAAUACCGCAUGAGAUCUACGGAUGAAAGCAGGGGAUCGCAAGACCUUGUGCUACUAGAGCGGCCGAUGGCAGAUUAGGUAGUUGGUGGGGAUAAAAGCUUACCAAGCCAACGAUCUGUAGCUGGUCUGAGAGGACGAUCAGCCACACUGGGACUGAGACACGGCCCAG